RNAcentral lists this ribosomal RNA (253 nucleotides) under uncultured bacterium. RNAcentral's name for it is "partial 16S ribosomal RNA". It matches the Rfam family "Bacterial small subunit ribosomal RNA", at positions 524 to 776 of the family's 1533-position model. The record is from RNAcentral.
UACGAAGGGGGCUAGCGUUGCUCGGAUUGACUGGGCGUAAAGGGCGCGUAGGCGGUUCGUACAGUCAGACGUGAAAUUCCUGGGCUCAACCUGGGGGCUGCGUUUGAUACUGAUUGGCUUGAAUGCAGGAGAGGAUAGCGGAAUUCCCAGUGUAGAGGUGAAAUUCGUAGAUAUUGGGAAGAACACCGGUGGCGAAGGCGGCUAUCUGGACUGUGAUUGACGCUGAGGCGCGAAAGCGUGGGGAGCAAACAGG